This 400-nucleotide ribosomal RNA is filed under the name uncultured bacterium. Its description in RNAcentral is "bacterial SSU rRNA". It matches the Rfam family "Bacterial small subunit ribosomal RNA", at positions 29 to 429 of the family's 1533-position model. The record is from RNAcentral.
AUUGAACGCUGGCGGAAUGCUUUACACAUGCAAGUCGAGCGGCAGCGCGGGGGCAACCCUGGCGGCGAGCGGCGAACGGGUGAGUAACAUAUCGGAACGUACCCCGUCGUGGGGGAUAACACAGCGAAAGCUGUGCUAAUACCGCAUACGACCUGAGGGUGAAAGCGGGGGAUCGCAAGACCUCGCGCGAUGGGAGCGGCCGAUAUCGGAUUAGCUUGUUGGUGAGGUAAAGGCUCACCAAGGCGACGAUCCGUAGCUGGUCUGAGAGGACGACCAGCCACACUGGAACUGAGACACGGUCCAGACUCCUACGGGAGGCAGCAGUGGGGGAAUUUUUGGACAAUGGGGGCAACCCUGAUCCAGCCAUUCCGCGUGAGUGAAGAAGGCCUUCGGUUGUAAG